Fundulus heteroclitus (mummichog) is the source of this 880-nucleotide long non-coding RNA. RefSeq lists it as uncharacterized. The transcript is spliced from 6 exons. NCBI's taxonomy places the organism in Eukaryota, Metazoa, Chordata, Actinopteri, Cyprinodontiformes, Fundulidae. The record is from RefSeq and is a predicted model, not a curated record.
AAGCGGUAAAAAGACUGGACCAGAACAUGGAUAGGGUCAGAGGUCAGGUUAUACGGUAAAGAGACUGGACCAGAACAUGGACAAGGUCAGAGGUCAGGUUAAACGGUAAAAAGACUGGAUCAGAACAUGGAUAGGGUCAGAGGUCAGAGGUCAGGUUAUACAGUAAAGAGACUGGACCAGAACAUGGAUGGGGUCAGAGGUCAGGUUAUACGGUAAAGAGACUGGACCAGAACAUGGACAAGGUCAGAGGUCAGGUUAAACGGUAAAAAGACUGGAUCAGAACAUGGAUAGGGUCAGAGGUCAGAGGUCAGGUUAUACAGUAAAGAGACUGGACCAGAACAUGGACAAGGUCAGAGGUCAGAAGUCAGGUUAUACAGUAAAGAGACUGGACCAGAACAUGGAUAGGGUCAGAGGUCAGAGGUCAGGUUAUACAGUAAAGAGACUGGACCAGAACACGGAUAGGGUCAGAGGUCAGAGGUCAGGUUAUACAGUAAAGAGACUGGACCAGAACAUGGACAAGGUCAGAGGUCAGGUUAAACGGUAAAAAGACUGGACCAGAACAUGGAUAGGGUCAGAGGUCAGGUUAUACGGUAAAGAGACUGGACCAGAACAUGGACAAGGUCAGAGGUCAGGUUAAACGGUAAAAAGACUGGACCAGAACAUGGAUAGGGUCAGAGGUCAGGUUAUACAGUAAAGAGACUGGACCAGAACAUGGAUAGGGUCAGAGGUCAGAGGUCAGGUUAUACAGUAAAGAGACUGGACCAGAACAUGGACAAGGUCAGAGGUCAGGUUAAACGGUAAAAAGACUGGAACCAGAACAUGGAUAGGGUCAGAGGUCAGAGGUCAGGUUAUACAGUAAGGAGACUGGACCAGAACCAGA